RNAcentral lists this ribosomal RNA (256 nucleotides) under uncultured bacterium. Its description in RNAcentral is "partial 16S ribosomal RNA". It matches the Rfam family "Bacterial small subunit ribosomal RNA", at positions 524 to 777 of the family's 1533-position model. The record is from RNAcentral.
UACAGAGGUGCCGAGCGUUAGGCGGAAUCACUGGGCUUAAAGCGUGCGUAGGCGGGCGUCUAAGUGUCUUGUGAAAUCCCACGGCUCAACCGUGGAACUGUUGGGCAUACUGGACGCCUUGAGGCACACAGGGGCGAGCGGAACAAGUGGUGGAGCGGUGAAAUGCGUAGAUAUCACUUGGAACGCCGACGGUGAAAACAGCUCGCUGGGUGUGUUCUGACGGCUGAGGCACGAAAGCCAGGGGGAGCGAACGGGG